UUUUUUUUUUUUUUUUUUUAAGAUUUAUUUAGCCUUCAUGAAUGACACAGAGAGAGACAGAAGGAGAAGCAGGCUCCUUGCAGGAGCCUGAUGCAGGACUCGAUCCCAGAACUCCAGGAUUAUGACCUGAGCCAAUGCCAGACGCUCAACCGCUAAGCCACCCAGGCAUCCCCAGGUUUCCAGUCUUUGGAGUAAAUUCCAGUCCUUAAUUGAGAGGUCUGGUGAGAGGUUACUGUUCAGUAGGACUUUGUUCCUCCCCAUGGUUCUACCCUCUCUCGUCUCUCUGUGUGUGUAUGUGUGUAUAUAACAUUCACUUCUUUCAGGCCCUGGAAACCCUACAAGGUCUUCUAUUUGGCCAACCGCAGAGUUUAAUAGUUGUACAAGCACAAUUGUCUUUCUUAUGAGACCCAGUUCUCUUAGAAAGACCUAUGUACAUAACUGGAAAAUAAAUCCCCAACACUGUUCUUACUCUGUGCAGUGAUUCUGCUGACAGCAGUGGAGAGGCUAACUAGAGGCUGCAGAGGGGCCUAACCUUACAUUAACAAAGCAUCUGGGGGAAUAAAGGCGCAGACAUCCUUUUUUCAAUGCUCUGGACUCAGUCUUUGCCAUAUAGUAUCUAAAGCUUUUGGAUCCUUACUGGAAAGGUAUGUUUUAAAAUGGAAACACGGUUAUUAUACCUAAUUUUCUGUCUCAUCUCCAGGUCUUUCAGUCAAACUAAAGUUUUUUUUCUAUUGAAAUUAUAAUUCUCUUUCUCUCCCUUUCUCUCUCUCUCUCCCUCUCUCCCUGUCUCUGUCUCUUUCUUAUGCAACUAGAAUGUGUCACUCGAUAUUAUAAUUGUUGUUUUUUUUUUUCUUUAAAAAAUGUCCAAGGCACACACUUGAAUAUUAGAAGCAGUUAUCAUGAGGGCCGGAGUAGGUUAUGUAGGUCAUGUGGUCCUUUUACAUUGUGCUUUUAUGCAUUUUGUAAUUAGGAAGAAAGUCACAUAAAAAUGUAUUAUAUUUCAGACUGUGCUUAUUGAAAUGUGAUGACUAUCUUCACAGCAAUACAUGUGCCAGGUGAUGCCUGGAUCUAUAACAUUUUCAUGUUAAGCAAAUAGAGACAUACAGUAAAAUAGAAAGCCAGACUCAGAUGGAUUUUUAAGCAAAACCAGGCACGUUUAGAGGUAUUUAUAUUUGUGGAUCCGGUUUGUACUACACCUGUAACUACUUCUUUGUCAAUAAGAAUUAUUUCCUUAGGGAACUUUGGAGGGAAAAUCCUAGAAGCCCUGGGUGUAAGUAAAGUGCUCAAGCAAUACCCAAUAGGAAUAUUCUAGAGCAUUUCUACACGGAUAGGAGAAGAUUGGGGCCCUUGAGAUCCCUUUUAAGUCUAAGGUUUUCUAAAUGCCUCUCUAAAAGCCAAGGUUUUCUAAAUGCAGGGCCUAAAAAAUAAAAAAUAAAUAAGCAAGGAGUAUCCUUGGAUUUGUAGUUUUGAGGUGAUUCUACUUGGAAGAGGAUCAUUUGUGUCAACUAGCACUUAACUUACACAGCAAGUUUCUUUUCUUGAGUACAGGAUCAGCUCAUACACUAAAUGAUGCUUUUCCAGGGCAAAAUACUACUACUACAAUGACUACAAGAAGUUUAUCAUGUUUCCUCACAUGUGCAAGAAAUAGAUCAACUCCCUAGUUGAUGUUUGGAGUUCAAAUCUUCUAUUUAAGCCACAGAUUCUUAGCUCAAGUAUAUUCGGUUUCACAACCACGAUCGUGGCUCUAGAGCAUAGCAAAGCAGAGGAGGCUGAGUGGAAGGAUUCCCAGUGUCCACCCCUGGCUCCAUGAGCCUCAGGACCAUGGAUGGGGCUCCAUAUAGAGUCACCACCAUGGCUGUGAUUUAUUACUGUGAGGCAUACAGAGAAAAAUCAGCAGAGGGCAAAGGUGGAAGGGGCCAGGUCCAGGGAAAGCCGUGCAUAUUUCCUAGGGUCCUUUCCAGUGGGGUCACAUAGACCUGCUUGCAACAGGUUGUGACAAUAUGU
RNAcentral lists this long non-coding RNA (2004 nucleotides) under Canis lupus familiaris (dog). RNAcentral describes it as "lncRNA (ENSCAFG00845000960.1)". The record is from RNAcentral. Lineage: Eukaryota; Metazoa; Chordata; Mammalia; Carnivora; Canidae.